This 438-nucleotide ribosomal RNA is filed under the name Acidimicrobiales bacterium. RNAcentral's name for it is "bacterial SSU rRNA". It matches the Rfam family "Bacterial small subunit ribosomal RNA", at positions 1088 to 1533 of the family's 1533-position model. The record is from RNAcentral. Lineage: Bacteria; Bacillati; Actinomycetota; Acidimicrobiia; Acidimicrobiales.
UGUAACGAGCGCAACCCAUGUCUUUUGUUGCUGUUUACAGUGCUUAAAAGAGACUGCCGCUCUACAGCGGAGGAAGGUGUGGAUGAUGUCAAGUCAGCAUGCCCCUUAUAUCUUGGGCUACACACGUACUACAAUGGUAGGGACAAUGAGUCGCAAACCUGCGAAGGCUAGCCAAUCUCAAAAACCCUAUCUCAGUUCGGAUUGUACUCUGCAACUCGAGUGCAUGAAGGUGGAAUCGCUAGUAAUCGCUGGUCAGCAUACAGCGGUGAAUACGUUCCCGGGUCUUGUACACACUGCCCGUCACACCAUGGAAGUCGAUCCUUCCCUAAGUCGUUACUCGAACCUUUUAGGACGAGGAUGCCGAAGGCAGGGUUGGUGACUAGGGUGAAGUCGUAACAAGGUAGCCGUACUGGAAGGUGUGGCUGGAAUACCUCCUUU